Long non-coding RNA from Oncorhynchus masou masou (cherry salmon), 964 nucleotides. RefSeq lists it as uncharacterized. The record is from RefSeq and is a predicted model, not a curated record. The transcript is spliced from 3 exons. Lineage: Eukaryota; Metazoa; Chordata; Actinopteri; Salmoniformes; Salmonidae.
GGAGGCACACGAGUCUCUCUCAUCCUGAGCAUUGUGCUCAAUGGCGUCAAGCCACGUCUAGAUGCUCUCUCCUUCUUCCCUCUCUUCAAAAGGAGACCCCGGAAAGGCUGACCAACAGUGGAGUGAUCCACACUCAAUAAUAGACCAACAAAGGAGGCAGUAAAAUAGAAAGGUUUAGAGGUUAGGUUAGACACACUGAUGCAGCGGGGGAGAAAGAUUUACAGGAACGUGGACAUUUUGCUCUCGCCGUGCUUUCUUUGUCAUUCAGCAAUGCUGCUGUUGAACGUGCCUUCUCCCAGAUGGCAUUGAUAAAGAAUUAAAUAAACAAGCUGAGAAGCAGAAUGCAGGAAAGAUGUCGAGCUGAGAAACAGAAUGCAGGAAAGAUGUCUUGAAAACAUCAUGAGAGUCUGAGCCCACAUGCAAAGGAACGUCAGCCAGGAUGCUCUCAUUAUUCACCGCUGACAUCUACUCAGCACAACAGGCCGAGGUCAAAUGGAGACAACCCUCUUCUCUAAAAAAAGAGAGGAAACAGACUGUAAAUAGUUACAUUUGAUGUGAAUAGUUUGAAUCGGUGGAACAAAAAAAGAACAGACAAGAGUGGCAGUUCACAGCAGGAGGAGAGUGCUCUGGAUACGGGCAGGGAGUUUGCUGAACACAAGAAAAAAAGCAGGAGCAACAUAUGGGGAAUUGCAGCAGCAACUUGUAUGGGGAUCACCCCAUCCUCUUUGGAGGGCUACUAUCAAACCAGCACUGCUGUUUUGAGAGAGGAUGGAUGACUGGGACAUCAAGCUGCAACCACACAUUAAUUGACAUUUAUUAUGAAAUAAAAUAACUGUUGGGGCUUUUAGAUUUGUAUACUCCCGUUUAAAGGAAUACUAUUAUUUUAGAGCAAUGUGACUUGUAUUAACCCUAUUACACAAUGAUUAACAUUGUGUUAACACCAUUUCAGAAGAAUGUUUUCUGA